Molecule: ribosomal RNA, 494 nt
Filed under: uncultured bacterium
Lineage: Bacteria
Description: partial 16S ribosomal RNA
Rfam family: Bacterial small subunit ribosomal RNA
Source: RNAcentral
GACGAACGCUGGCGGCGUGCCUAAUACAUGCAAGUCGAGCGGACUUAAAAAGCUUGCUUUUUAAGUUAGCGGCGGACGGGUGAGUAACACGUGGGCAAACUGCCUGUAAGACUGGGAUAACUUCGGGAAACCGGAGCUAAUACCGGAUAAUCCUGUUCUACUCAUGUAGAAAAGCUGAAAGACGGUUUACGCUGUCACUUACAGAUGGGCCCGCGGCGCAUUAGCUAGUUGGUGAGGUAACGGCUCACCAAGGCGACGAUGCGUAGCCGACCUGAGAGGGCGAUCGCCCACACUGGGACUGAGACACGGCCCAGACUCCUACGGGAGGCAGCAGUAGGGAAUCUUCCGCAAAGGACGAAAGUCUGACGGAGCACCGCCGCGUGAGUGAUGAAGGUUUUCGGAUCGUAAAACUCUGUUGUUAGGGAAGAACAAGUACGAGAGUAACUGCUCGUACCUUGACGGUACCUAACCAGAAAGCCACGGCUAACUACGUG